GGGACAACCCGCCGAAAGGCGGGCUAAACCCGCGUACAUGCCACCGGGGCAUCCCGGAGGCAGGAAAGGCUUCGGCCGGACAGGGAUGGGCAUGCGGCGCAUUAGGCAGUAGGCGGGGUAACGGCCCACCUAACCGACGAUGCGUAGGGGUUCUGAGAGGAAGGUCCCCCACACUGGUACUGAGACACGGACCAGACUCCUACGGGAGGCAGCAGUGAGGAAUAUUGGUCAAUGGUCGGGAGACUGAACCAGCCAAGCCGCGUGAGGGAGGAAGGUACAGAGUAUCGUAAACCUCUUUUGUCAGGGAACAAAGACUGGGACGCGUCCCCGGAUGAGUGUACCUGAAGAAAAAGCGUCGGCUAACUCCGUGCCAGCAGCCGCGGUAAUACGGAGGAUGCGAGCGUUAUCCGGAUUUAUUGGGUUUAAAGGGUGCGCAGGCGGUCUGUUAAGUCAGCGGUCAAAGCCCGGGGCUCAACCCCGGCCCGCCGUUGAAACUGGCAGUCUCGAGUUGGAGAGAAGUAUGCGGAAUGCGCGGUGUAGCGGUGAAAUGCAUAGAUAUCGCGCAGAACUCCGGUUGCGAAGGCAGCAUGCCGGCUCCACACUGACGCUGAGGCACGAAAGCGUGGGUAUCGAACAGGAUUAGAUACCCUGGUAGUCCACGCAGUAAACGAUGAAUAAUGGCUGUCCG
This 688-nucleotide ribosomal RNA is filed under the name uncultured bacterium. RNAcentral describes it as "bacterial SSU rRNA". It matches the Rfam family "Bacterial small subunit ribosomal RNA", at positions 140 to 826 of the family's 1533-position model. The record is from RNAcentral.